AGUGAACGCUGGCGGCGUGCUUAAUACAUGCAAGUCGAACGAUGAAGUCCUAGCUUGCUAGGAUGGAUUAGUGGCGCACGGGUGAGUAAUAUAUAGUUAAUCUGCCUUGCACUGAGGGACAACAGUUGGAAACGAUUGCUAAUACCUCAUACUCCAACUUUACAUAAGUUAAGUUGGGAAAGUCUUUUCGGUGCAAGAUGAGACUAUAUCGUAUCAGCUAGUUGGUAAGGUAAUGGCUUACCAAGGCUAUGACGCGUAACUGGUCUGAGAGGAUGAUCAGUCACAUUGGAACUGAGACACGGUCCAAACUCCUACGGGAAGCAGCAGUAAGGAAUAUUGGGCAAUGGGGGAAACCCUGACGCAGCAACGCCGCGUGGAGGAUGACACUUUUCGGAGCGUAAACUCCUUUUGUUAGGGAAGAAUAAUGACGGUACCUAACGAAUAAGCACCGGCUAACUCCGUG
RNAcentral lists this ribosomal RNA (463 nucleotides) under uncultured bacterium. Its description in RNAcentral is "partial 16S ribosomal RNA". It matches the Rfam family "Bacterial small subunit ribosomal RNA", at positions 29 to 507 of the family's 1533-position model. The record is from RNAcentral.